UGAUUAUGGCUCAGAAUGAACGCUGGCGGCGUGGUUAAUACAUGCAAGUCGAACGGGAUAAACUGUGUAGCAAUACUUAUUUUGUUUACUGGCGAACGGGUGCGUAACACGUGAACUAUCUUUCAUUGGGUGUGGAAUAUCUCGCCGAAAGGCGAAUUAAUACCGCAUGUGGUUGUUUCCCGCAUGGGAAGCAUACUAAAGUCAGGGACCGCAAGGCCUGACGCUAAAUGAGGAGUUCGCGGCCUAUCACCUAUUUGGCGAGGUAACGGCUCAACGGGGCUAAAACGGGUAACUGAUCUGACAGGAUGAUCAACCACACUGGAACUGAUACACGGUCCAGACACCUACAGGUGGCAACAAUUUCGAAUCAUUCACAAUGGGCGAAAGCCUGAUGGUGCUACGCCCCUUGAGGUAUGAAGGUCUUCUGAUUGUAAACCUCUGUCACUGGGGAGAAAACGCUUUAAGUUAAUAUUUCAAAGCCUGAUUUAACCCUUAGAGGAAGCAGUGGCUAACUCUGUGCCGACACCCGCGUUAAUACAGAUACUGCAAGCGUUAUUCUGAUUCACUGGACGUAUAGGGUGCUCAUGCAGCCGUGUGUGUUAGGUGUGAAAUCGCGGGGCUCACUGUCAGAACUGCGCAUUAAACUACAUGGCUAGAGUAUUGGAGAGGGUAGUGGAUGUCACGGUGUAACACUGAAAUGCGUAUUAUAUCGUGAGGAACACCAGAUGCGAAUGCCACUACCUGCGACAAUUACUGACGCUCAAGCACGAAUACGUGCGGAGCAAAACGGAUUACAUACCCCAUGUAGUCCACGCCCUAGACGGUGCACUACUAAGUCUU
Molecule: ribosomal RNA, 840 nt
Filed under: uncultured bacterium
Lineage: Bacteria
Description: bacterial SSU rRNA
Rfam family: Bacterial small subunit ribosomal RNA
Source: RNAcentral